CCUACGGGGCGCAGCAGUGGGGAAUAUUGGACAAUGGGCGAAAGCCUGAUCCAGCCAUGCCGCGUGUGUGAAGAAGGCCUUCGGGUUGUAAAGCACUUUCAGUGGGGAAGAAAGCCUUGGGGCUAAUACCCUCGAGGAAGGACAUCACCCACAGAAGAAGCACCGGCUAACUCCGUGCCAGCAGCCGCGGUAAUACGGAGGGUGCGAGCGUUAAUCGGAAUUACUGGGCGUAAAGCGCGCGUAGGCGGUCUGAUAAGCCGGUUGUGAAAGCCCCGGGCUCAACCUGGGAACGGCAUCCGGAACUGUCAGGCUAGAGUGCAGGAGAGGAAGGUAGAAUUCCCGGUGUAGCGGUGAAAUGCGUAGAGAUCGGGAGGAAUACCAGUGGCGAAGGCGGCCUUCUGGACUGACACUGACGCUGAGGUGCGAAAGCGUGGGUAGCAAACAGGAUUAAUACCCCAUAGUC
RNAcentral lists this ribosomal RNA (463 nucleotides) under Vreelandella stevensii. RNAcentral's name for it is "partial 16S ribosomal RNA". It matches the Rfam family "Bacterial small subunit ribosomal RNA", at positions 338 to 795 of the family's 1533-position model. The record is from RNAcentral. Lineage: Bacteria; Pseudomonadati; Pseudomonadota; Gammaproteobacteria; Oceanospirillales; Halomonadaceae.